CGACGCUUAUGCGUUGUUGGGUAGGGGAGCGUUCUGUAAGCCUGUGAAGGUGUGCUGUGAGGUAUGCUGGAGGUAUCAGAAGUGCGAAUGCUGACAUAAGUAACGAUAAAGCGGGUGAAAAGCCCGCUCGCCGGAAGACCAAGGGUUCCUGUCCAACGUUAAUCGGGGCAGGGUGAGUCGACCCCUAAGGCGAGGCCGAAAGGCGUAGUCGAUGGGAAACAGGUUAAUAUUCCUGUACUUGGUGUUACUGCGAAGGGGGGACGGAGAAGGCUAUGUUGGCCGGGCGACGGUUGUCCCGGUUUAAGCGUGUAGGCUGGUUUUCCAGGCAAAUCCGGAAAAUCAAGGCCGAGGCGUGAUGACGAGGCACUACGGUGCUGAAGCAACAAAUGCCCUGCUUCCAGGAAAAGCCUCUAAGCAUCAGGUAACAUCAAAUCGUACCCCAAACCGACACAGGUGGUCAGGUAGAGAAUACCAAGGCGCUUGAGAGAACUCGGGUGAAGGAACUAGGCAAAAUGGUGCCGUAACUUCGGGAGAAGGCACGCUGAUACGUAGGUGAAGCGACUUGCUCGUGGAGCUGAAAUCAGUCGAAGAUACCAGCUGGCUGCAACUGUUUAUUAAAAACACAGCACUGUGCAAACACGAAAGUGGACGUAUACGGUGUGACGCCUGCCCGGUGCCGGAAGGUUAAUUGAUGGGGUUAGCGCAAGCGAAGCUCUUGAUCGAAGCCCCGGUAAACGGCGGCCGUAACUAUAACGGUCCUAAGGUAGCGAAAUUCCUUGUCGGGUAAGUUCCGACCUGCACGAAUGGCGUAAUGAUGGCCAGGCUGUCUCCACCCGAGACUCAGUGAAAUUGAACUCGCUGUGAAGAUGCAGUGUACCCGCGGCAAGACGGAAAGACCCCGUGAACCUUUACUAUAGCUUGACACUGAACAUUGAGCCUUGAUGUGUAGGAUAGGUGGGAGGCUUUGAAGUGUGGACGCCAGUCUGCAUGGAGCCGACCUUGAAAUACCACCCUUUAAUGUUUGAUGUUCUAACGUGGACCCGUGAUCCGGGUUGCGGACAGUGUCUGGUGGGUAGUUUGACUGGGGCGGUCUCCUCCUAAAGAGUAACGGAGGAGCACGAAGGUUGGCUAAUCCUGGUCGGACAUCAGGAGGUUAGUGCAAUGGCAUAAGCCAGCUUGACUGCGAGCGUGACGGCGCGAGCAGGUGCGAAAGCAGGUCAUAGUGAUCCGGUGGUUCUGAAUGGAAGGGCCAUCGCUCAACGGAUAAAAGGUACUCCGGGGAUAACAGGCUGAUACCGCCCAAGAGUUCAUAUCGACGGCGGUGUUUGGCACCUCGAUGUCGGCUCAUCACAUCCUGGGGCUGAAGUAGGUCCCAAGGGUAUGGCUGUUCGCCAUUUAAAGUGGUACGCGAGCUGGGUUUAGAACGUCGUGAGACAGUUCGGUCCCUAUCUGCCGUGGGCGCUGGAGAACUGAGGGGGGCUGCUCCUAGUACGAGAGGACCGGAGUGGACGCAUCACUGGUGUUCGGGUUGUCAUGCCAAUGGCACUGCCCGGUAGCUAAAUGCGGAAGAGAUAAGUGCUGAAAGCAUCUAAGCACGAAACU
This 1602-nucleotide ribosomal RNA is filed under the name Shigella flexneri. RNAcentral describes it as "partial 23S ribosomal RNA". It matches the Rfam family "Bacterial large subunit ribosomal RNA", at positions 1209 to 2794 of the family's 2925-position model. The record is from RNAcentral. Lineage: Bacteria; Pseudomonadati; Pseudomonadota; Gammaproteobacteria; Enterobacterales; Enterobacteriaceae.